This 253-nucleotide ribosomal RNA is filed under the name uncultured bacterium. RNAcentral's name for it is "partial 16S ribosomal RNA". It matches the Rfam family "Bacterial small subunit ribosomal RNA", at positions 524 to 776 of the family's 1533-position model. The record is from RNAcentral.
UACGUAGGGUGCGAGCGUUGUCCGGAAUUAUUGGGCGUAAAGGGCUCGUAGGCGGUCUGUUGCGUCGGUAGUGAAAACUCAGGGCUUAACCCUGAGCCUGCUUCCGAUACGGGCAGACUAGAGGUAUGCAGGGGAGAACGGAAUUCCUGGUGUAGCGGUGAAAUGCGCAGAUAUCAGGAGGAACACCGGUGGCGAAGGCGGUUCUCUGGACAUUACCUGACGCUGAGGAGCGAAAGUGUGGGGAGCGAACAGG